This 468-nucleotide ribosomal RNA is filed under the name uncultured bacterium. RNAcentral's name for it is "partial 16S ribosomal RNA". It matches the Rfam family "Bacterial small subunit ribosomal RNA", at positions 28 to 507 of the family's 1533-position model. The record is from RNAcentral.
GACGAACGCUGGCGGCGUGCUUAACACAUGCAAGUCGAACGGAAAGGCCCUGCUUUUGUGGGGUGCUCGAGUGGCGAACGGGUGAGUAACACGUGAGUAACCUGCCCUUGACUUUGGGAUAACUUCAGGAAACUGGGGCUAAUACCGGAUAGGAGCUCCUGCUGCAUGGUGGGGGUUGGAAAGUUUCGGCGGUUGGGGAUGGACUCGCGGCUUAUCAGCUUGUUGGUGGGGUAGUGGCUUACCAAGGCUUUGACGGGUAGCCGGCCUGAGAGGGUGACCGGGCAGCUGGGGAGAGAGAUGCGCCCCAGACGGAAGCGGGCGGCAGCAGGGGGGAAUGUGGCACGAUGGCCGGAAGCCUGAAACAGGAACGCCGCGGGCGGGAAGACGGACUGAGGUUUGUAAACCGCGAUCCCCGGUGACGAAGCGGGAGAGACGGUAAUGAAAAAAGGGACAACGACAAACUACGUC